AGUGAACGCUGGCGGUAGGCCUAACACAUGCAAGUCGAACGGCAGCACAGUAAGAGCUUGCUCUUACGGGUGGCGAGUGGCGGACGGGUGAGGAAUACAUCGGAAUCUACUUUUUCGUGGGGGAUAACGUAGGGAAACUUACGCUAAUACCGCAUACGACCUACGGGUGAAAGCAGGGGAUCUUCGGACCUUGCGCGAUUGAAUGAGCCGAUGUCGGAUUAGCUAGUUGGCGGGGUAAAGGCCCACCAAGGCGACGAUCCGUAGCUGGUCUGAGAGGAUGAUCAGCCAGACUGGAACUGAGACACGGUCCAGACUCCUACGGGAGGCAGCAGUGGGGAAUAUUGGACAAAGGGCGCAAGCCUGAUCCAGCCAUACCGCGUGGGUGAAGAAGGCCUUCGGGUUGUAAAGCCCUUUUGUUGGGAAAGAAAAGCAGCAGGUUAAUACCCCGCUGUUCUGACGGUACCCAAAGAAUAAGCACCGGCUAACUUCGUG
This 492-nucleotide ribosomal RNA is filed under the name uncultured bacterium. RNAcentral's name for it is "partial 16S ribosomal RNA". It matches the Rfam family "Bacterial small subunit ribosomal RNA", at positions 29 to 507 of the family's 1533-position model. The record is from RNAcentral.